UAGGGAAUCUUCCGCAAUGGACGAAAGUCUGACGGAGCAACGCCGCGUGAGAGAAGAAGGAUUUCGGUUCGUAAAACUUUGUUGUUAGGGAAGAAAAAAUGUAUAGUAACUAUAUACAAAAGAGACGGUACCUAACCAGAAAGCCACGGCUAACUACGUGCCAGCAGCCGCGGUAAUACGUAGGUGGCAAGCGUUGUCCGGAAUUAUUGGGCGUAAAGCGCGCGCAGGUGGUUUAGAAAGUCUGAUGUGAAAGCCCACGGCUCAACCGUGGAGGGUCAUUGGAAACUAAUAAACUUGAGUGCAGGAGAGAAAAGUGGAAUUCCUAGUGUAGCGGUGAAAUGCGUAGAGAUUAGGAGGAACACCGGUGGCGAAAGCGGCUUUUUGGCCUGCAACUGACACUGAGGCGCGAAAGCGUGGGGAGCAAACAGG
Molecule: ribosomal RNA, 429 nt
Filed under: Verrucomicrobiota bacterium
Lineage: Bacteria; Pseudomonadati; Verrucomicrobiota
Description: Verrucomicrobia bacterium partial 16S ribosomal RNA
Rfam family: Bacterial small subunit ribosomal RNA
Source: RNAcentral